CCCGCCAAUUCCUUUAAGUUUCUCUGGUUGAUCCUGCCGGAGGUCAUAGCUGUUUCCUGACGACUAAGCCAUGCGAGUCGAGAGGGUUCGGCCCUCGGCUGACGGCUCAGUAACACGUGGAUAAUCUGCCCUAAGGUGGAGGAUAACCUCGGGAAACUGAGAAUAAUACUCCAUAAGUCUAGGAUGCUGGAAUGCACUUAGACUGAAAACUUCGGUGCCUUAGGAUGAGUCUGCGGACUAUCAGGUUGUAGUCAGGGUAAAGACCUGACUAGCCUACGACGGAUACGGGUUGUGAGAGCAAUAACCCGGAGAUGAUAUCUGAGACACGAUAUCAGGCCCUACGGGGCGCAGCAGGCGCGAAAACUUCGCACUGCGCGAAAGCGCGACGAGGGGAUCCCAAGUGUAUGCACGUAAGUGUAUACUGUUUCUCUGUCUAAAAAGCAGAGAGAGUAAGGGCUGGGUAAGACGGGUGCCAGCCGCCGCGGUAAAACCAGCUCUUCAAGUGGUCGGGGCUAUUAUUGGGCUUAAAGUGUCCGUAGCCGGUAUAGUAAGUUCCUGGUUAAAUCGGAUAGCUUAACUAUCUGUUGGCUAGGAAUACUGCUAUACUAGGGGGCGGGAGAGGUCUGAGGUACUCCAGGGGUAGGGGUGAAAUCCUAUAAUCCUUGGGGGACCACCAGUGGCGAAGGCGUCAGACUGGAACGCGCUCGACGGUGAGGGACGAAAGCCAGGGGAGCGAACCGGAUUAGAUACCCGGGUAGUCCUGGCUGUAAACGAUGCGUGCUAGGUGUUGGUAUGGCCUUGAGCCGUAUCAGUGCCGUAGGGAAACCGAUAAGCGCGCCGCU
RNAcentral lists this ribosomal RNA (842 nucleotides) under uncultured archaeon. RNAcentral describes it as "bacterial SSU rRNA". It matches the Rfam family "Archaeal small subunit ribosomal RNA", at positions 1 to 828 of the family's 1478-position model. The record is from RNAcentral.